This 91-nucleotide transfer RNA is filed under the name Aaosphaeria arxii CBS 175.79. It matches the Rfam family "tRNA". Rfam says of the family: Transfer RNA (tRNA) molecules are approximately 80 nucleotides in length. Their secondary structure includes four short double-helical elements and three loops (D, anti-codon, and T loops). Further hydrogen bonds mediate the characteristic L-shaped molecular structure. tRNAs have two regions of fundamental functional importance: the anti-codon, which is responsible for specific mRNA codon recognition, and the 3' end, to which the tRNAs corresponding amino acid is attached (by aminoacyl-tRNA synthetases). tRNAs cope with the degeneracy of the genetic code in two manners: having more than one tRNA (with a specific anti-codon) for a particular amino acid; and 'wobble' base-pairing, i.e. permitting non-standard base-pairing at the 3rd anti-codon position. Lineage: Eukaryota; Fungi; Ascomycota; Dothideomycetes; Pleosporales. The record is from Rfam by way of RNAcentral.
GGUCGGUUAGCUCAGUUGGUUUAGAGCGUGGUGCUAAUAGCAUUCAUCCUAUGAUACGCCAAGGUCGCGGGUUCGACCCCCGUACUGACCA